Molecule: non-coding RNA, 140 nt
Filed under: human gut metagenome
Description: glmS glucosamine-6-phosphate activated ribozyme
Rfam family: glmS glucosamine-6-phosphate activated ribozyme aptamer
About the family: This entry contains a glucosamine-6-phosphate activated ribozyme that is found in the mRNA for GlmS.
Source: RNAcentral
AAUAAUAAAGCGCCUGGACACUAACUAUUAGUGUUGACGAGGUCUAGAGUUAUCGAAACAUUCGGCGGAUGCUCUAGUGGCUAGCUUAGGUCAAAAUAUUAAUUAAAAAGCAAUAGCAAUAUUGUAACAAAGAUUAAUAU